This 545-nucleotide ribosomal RNA is filed under the name Cladosporium ramotenellum. Its description in RNAcentral is "eukaryotic LSU rRNA". The stretch from base 189 to 342 matches the Rfam family "5.8S ribosomal RNA". Lineage: Eukaryota; Fungi; Ascomycota; Dothideomycetes; Cladosporiales; Cladosporiaceae. The record is from RNAcentral.
GGUCUCCGUAGGUGAACCUGCGGAGGGAUCAUUACAAGUGACCCCGGCUACGGCCGGGAUGUUCAUAACCCUUUGUUGUCCGACUCUGUUGCCUCCGGGGCGACCCUGCCUUCGGGCGGGGGCUCCGGGUGGACACUUCAAACUCUUGCGUAACUUUGCAGUCUGAGUAAACUUAAUUAAUAAAUUAAAACUUUUAACAACGGAUCUCUUGGUUCUGGCAUCGAUGAAGAACGCAGCGAAAUGCGAUAAGUAAUGUGAAUUGCAGAAUUCAGUGAAUCAUCGAAUCUUUGAACGCACAUUGCGCCCCCUGGUAUUCCGGGGGGCAUGCCUGUUCGAGCGUCAUUUCACCACUCAAGCCUCGCUUGGUAUUGGGCAACGCGGUCCGCCGCGUGCCUCAAAUCGUCCGGCUGGGUCUUCUGUCCCCUAAGCGUUGUGGAAACUAUUCGCUAAAGGGUGUUCGGGAGGCUACGCCGUAAAACAACCCCAUUUCUAAGGUUGACCUCGGAUCAGGUAGGGAUACCCGCUGAACUUAAGCAUAUCAAUAA